Molecule: ribosomal RNA, 277 nt
Filed under: uncultured bacterium
Lineage: Bacteria
Description: partial 16S ribosomal RNA
Rfam family: Bacterial small subunit ribosomal RNA
Source: RNAcentral
UUGAUCAUGGCUCAGAAUCACCGCUGGNCNUAGUGCCUAACACAUGCAAGUCGAACGAGAAAGCAGGGGCAACUUUGCGAGUAAAGUGGCAGACGGGUGAGUAACACGUGAACAACCUACCCUUGAGUGGGAAUAACCCCGCGAAAGCGGGGCUAAUACCGCAUAACAUCCCCUGACCGCAUGGUCUAGGGAUCAAAGGCUUCGGUCGCUUGAGGAGGGGUUCGCGCCUGAUUAGCUUGUUGGUGAGGUAAAGGCUCACCAAAGGCUACGAUCAGUA